AUGCCCGUACUGACGCAUUUCGUCCGGGCGCCGCGAUCGCCUCUCGGCCCUAGGCGGCGCUUGCUUGGCUCCUUCUUCCCCAACGCCGGUGGUUUAUUAAAGGACGCGGUUCCACUGGCCUCGCGCUCGGGCCUCCUUCUCGUGCGCCUCCGCUCAAGCCUGUACUGGGAUGAUGAUGAACGGGAACUCGUCCGCCUGGCCGUGUGCAACCCACUCGCCGGCACAUGGGACGAACUACCACCGCUGCACCGUGGAUCAUCCAUCAUGAGCGAAGAGGCCCAAUGCGCCAUUCUAACAGACACAGACCACGGUCCGAAGGGACGGCCACGAAAACCAUUGCCAGGCUACACAACAUUCUUCAAAGUGACGGUCAUCAUGUUGGGAUAUCAUAGGGGGCCUUACAGCAUGUACACUUUCUCUUCCGCUGAGUCAAGUUGGAGCGCACCUAGAAGGUGCUUUGCGCCUCUGGAGUAUACCUUCGUCCAUGGCAACCCUGUCGUGUCUCGGGGCAAGGUGCACUGGCUCAUCAAGGGCUUGGGCAACGUUUGGACCCUUGGAUUCUGCAUUGAGACCGAGCACAUAUCCAUAACAGAGCUUCCGAUUCCACAGGACUUCUGCGAAUACAGCAGCUUCAACCAUGCACUUGUGCUUAGCGUGGCAGCUAAUGGCAAAUUAUCACUGAUUUGCCUACAUAAAAAUUUCCUCCAGGUACAGAUAUUUACAUGUAAAGGUAACGAAGGGGAUGGCAAUGGCGUUGCCGAUGCACUACAUACUGAGGUCAUCAAGCUCAAACGCAAACCAAGGCAAACCACCAAAGCACUCUACAUGUAUGUGGGCGAGAAGAGCACGACACUGCUUGUCAUUGACCAACGCAAGUUCAUGUGCAUUGUCAAUCUCGAAACAGGGACAAUUGAUGAGGUCACGGGCAUGUCUGGCUACUUUAAAGGACAUACCGUCGUGCCAUUCGAGAUUGAUUGGUCGUCCUUCUUCAUGUCCAGCUUGGAGGCCCAUUGA
RNAcentral lists this ribosomal RNA (1014 nucleotides) under Triticum aestivum (bread wheat). RNAcentral describes it as "partial small subunit ribosomal RNA". The record is from RNAcentral. Lineage: Eukaryota; Viridiplantae; Streptophyta; Magnoliopsida; Poales; Poaceae.